GGGGAAUAUUGGACAAUGGACCAAAAGUCUGAUCCAGCAAUUCUGUGUGCACGAUGACGUUUUUCGGAAUGUAAAGUGCUUUCAGUUGGGAAGAAAAAAAUGACGGUACCAACAGAAGAAGUGACGGCUAAAUACGUGCCAGCAGCCGCGGUAAUACGUAUGUCACAAGCGUUAUCCGGAUUUAUUGGGCGUAAAGCGCGUCUAGGUGGUUAUGUAAGUCUGAUGUGAAAAUGCAGAGCUCAACUCUGUAUUGCGUUGGAAACUGCAUGACUAGAGUACUGGAGAGGUAAGCGGAACUACAAGUGUAGAGGUGAAAUUCGUAGAUAUUUGUAGGAAUGCCGAUGGGGAAGCCAGCUUACUGGACAGAUACUGACGCUAAAGCGCGAAAGCGUGGGUAGCAAACAGGAUUAGAUACCCUGGUAGUCCACGCCGUAAACGAUGAUUACUAGGUGUUGGGGGUCGAACCUCAGCGCCCAAGCUAACGCGAUAAGUAAUCCGCCUGGGGAGUACGUACGCAAGUAUG
This 523-nucleotide ribosomal RNA is filed under the name uncultured bacterium. RNAcentral describes it as "bacterial SSU rRNA". It matches the Rfam family "Bacterial small subunit ribosomal RNA", at positions 356 to 896 of the family's 1533-position model. The record is from RNAcentral.